GAUGAAGAACGCAGCGAAAUGCGAUAAGUAAUGUGAAUUGCAGAAUUCAGUGAAUCAUCGAAUCUUUGAACGCACAUUGCGCCCGCCAGUAUUCUGGCGGGCAUGCCUGUUCGAGCGUCAUUUCAACCAUCAAGCCCCAGGCUUGUGUUGGGGACCUGCGGCUGCCGCAGGCCCUGAAAACCAGUGGCGGGCUCGCUGUCACACCGGGCGUAGUAGAUUUUAUCUCGCUCAGGGCGUGCUGCGGGUUCCGGCCGUUAAAAAGCCUUUUUUACCCAAGGUUGACCUCGGAUCAGGUAGGAAGACCCGCUGAACUUAAGCAUAUCAAUAAGCGGGGA
RNAcentral lists this unclassified non-coding RNA (335 nucleotides) under soil metagenome. RNAcentral's name for it is "partial contains 5.8S ribosomal RNA, internal transcribed spacer 2, and large subunit ribosomal RNA". The stretch from base 1 to 120 matches the Rfam family "5.8S ribosomal RNA", at positions 35 to 154 of the family's 154-position model. The record is from RNAcentral.